Pimephales promelas (fathead minnow) is the source of this 1208-nucleotide long non-coding RNA. RefSeq lists it as uncharacterized. The record is from RefSeq and is a predicted model, not a curated record. NCBI's taxonomy places the organism in Eukaryota, Metazoa, Chordata, Actinopteri, Cypriniformes, Leuciscidae.
CGAACAGGAGAGUCACGAACGGGCACAUGGCAGAGUGCCACUUUCACAAACUCAUCCUACAUCCUUCUGACGCACCAUCAUUAUUAAAGGCAAUGCUUUGUGAGGCUCUCGGAUGACAUAACUUUAGCAUAUAAGCUCCUAAAGACUCUUAUUCUGCAUUUAAUCAUCUAUACACAAAGCCUAAGCUUACUUAACAUUUGAACACUGCUCUUCUGCUGCUGUAGUGUGUCCGUAGUUUCUCCACAGAUUUCUUCACUGUCUGCGAGAAGAUAAAUGAUUUCCAGAAGAUCUCUGAUCCUAACAUGGCCCUCCAGUGGGACCUGCACAACAUACGAACCGCUCUGCCUUUCUAUUCAUCCGCAGUGGGAAACUCAUCUCAUCCUACGCAGAGGAAGGUUAGAGACCUCUCUAUGGCAAACAAACGCACAGGCUCUGGGAACGCUCCGGUUUAGCUGUCAAAAAACAGCCAAGCAAACAAAAAUGCUAAUGAAUCAGUCAGCUUUGAGCACAGGCCAGUGCUCCGGACAUCUCCAGCUGCAUGAAGGACCAGUGAAUAUAUCAAUGUUUCCCAAAAUCCUCUGGUGCAGUCCGUCUUCAGCGUCUCUAAAUGAUGCAGGUCACUUCUUCAAACAUGACAGAUCUGGAUCUUCACCUCCUACUGUCUGUGCAUAUUACUUUAUUUUAUUUUUUAUCUCUGCUGUCUAGCUUUGCCUCUAAAGAACACACUUCGCUGGUUGUAAAGUAUUGCAUUGCCCGUGAUCCACUGUAUAGUCUGGUAUUGAGAUGCAGUGUUUUUGCCAAGAGUGAUGAGUGCAUGGAAAACAUUAACAUUCUCAUUUAAUAGCAAGGCAAAACAGAAGUAACCACAGCAAAGAAAAUCUCUUUAAUACCACCCUUAUGUCUCCUAGAUGACAAUGAGAUUCAACCACAAGCUAAUGGAGAUGUUCUCCUGAUUAAAAAAACAAAACACACAUCUCUAGAGUUUCAAAAGCGAUGCUAAUGUCUCAAACACAGUGGAAUUUUCAGAGAAACAUCUGAGUCAUACUGGUAAAUAAGACAACGUUGCAUUCGCAUGUAUUCUUAUCUCUUUCCGCGCCGGCGUUUUUUAAUAAGUUGCCAGCCAUCACUAGCAUCUCUGAUUUUCACAAAACUUUCAUAGUCCCCAGAAUAUUUUGUUUUAUGCAUAUCUGAACAUGCAAUAUAUCAAA